This is an RNA transcript of Wasmannia auropunctata (little fire ant), 1599 nucleotides long. It is a transcript of the gene named E3 ubiquitin-protein ligase TRAIP-like, with no coding region annotated. The transcript has 6 exons. The record is from RefSeq and is a predicted model, not a curated record. NCBI's taxonomy places the organism in Eukaryota, Metazoa, Arthropoda, Insecta, Hymenoptera, Formicidae.
UACUUAGUUCCAUUUUGCCGAGUGUCAGUCUGUGAGGGCGCCAAAACGCUGUCCCCCAAAAAUACAUGGGAGUGAACAGGCCCUGUAUUAUAUUCCUAUUUCCUAUGUCCAUGUCCAUGCGUCGGAUCGCUGUCGACCUGUCGUUUGUGCUUUCGCUUUUGCUUUCGUUUCGUUGCCCAUUUUAGAAUGAAAAUCUUCUGUACAAUAUGUCACGAUCUACUGGCACCAACCGAAGACAUUUUUUUCACUCAUUGCGGACAUGUGUUUCAUCAUCGCUGUCUAUUCCAGUGGUUCGAAAGGUCGGAGAUCUGUCCACAAUGUUGUGCCAGAACGACAAAAAAUAGAAUCUAUAAGGCCUACUUCACGGUUUCGAAUAACGAGGACAAUUUGCAAGAGAGGAUUAAUGGCCUGAAACUUCAAGAUCUACUGAACGAAAGGAACAUCAGGCAUUACACUUCAAAAAAUGCGGUUUUGAAGAAGCAGAACGCUGAUCUCAGGCUGCAAGUGCGACUGGUGGAAAACAAAAUCAGGUGUAAAAAUUCGAUUAUUUGUCACACAAAGAAUAGGAUAAGAAAUUUGAAUAAGGUGCUUCAAGAGUAUGAAGUUCUGAAAAAGAAGUUAUCAGAGAAGAAAAGAGAGGUGAAACAGUUUCGAGAGAUAUAUAAAACGCCAUCGGUGUUUACGUUUAAGGAUUUGCGGGAUAUACUUAGAACACAUGAUCGCAACAGUAUAAUUCAUCAUUUUUUUCAUCUGAAAGAGGCUUAUUUCAGGGCAAUGAAACUGAGAAAAUGAAAACAAUUCAAAUCAAACUCAAUUAUCCACAAGGGCAGCUUUCAAGGCACCGCGGUUCCCUAGAAUAAGAGCGAUCUAAAAAAGUCAGCAUAGGAGUUCUCCAAAGCACACAGUUGCUUAGCUACCAUAUACUCUGAGAAUACCCAUACGAUGCAAAUUUUAUGACUCUAAAAUAUUCUCGUGAAACUAUGGCUACGAAAUGACGUUUCAUCUUAUGUCAUUUUGUUAUGGGCAAAGUUUUACUGGCCGAACAUAUAUAUCGACAUGUUGGGGGAAUUGCCGAUAGAUUUGAAGAUAAUUACCACCCACCCAGCGUCCAAAGGCUGGCUAAUGUGUCGGUGCUGGCGUUAUGGACGUUUUGAAGAUUGGUGCCCGGAAUAAGACUGGCGCAUGUCGUGAUGCUACAAUCUGUCAUGGUUGGUGGAUCCGUGCUAAGGUUCUUCCUCUUGAACUCUUCGCUGAUCCUGCUAAUUGUAAGAGGAUCUGGUCUCGCAAAGCUGUCAUAUAGACUGGGGUCGCUAUGCGACAGCUAAUGCCUCGGCUGAUGCGCUCUAUAAUGAUUCUUCAUUUUCGGUUUCAUGCCUGUAACCACAAACAUCUACUAUGACAUAUGUAUGACAGAAUUAACUAAAAUUUUAAUUUAUUUUUUUUCUGAGAAAGCAGAACAAAUCUAUAUGAAAUUAUUACAUAUUUUUAUUUUUGUUCUUAGACUUGCUAAUGCUUCAUGUAUUGUAACAAUGUAAUUAAAAUGCGUUAAAAUGUGUAGAGAGGAAAAGACGAAUAAAUUAUAAAUAUUUUUAUAAUUUA